Solenopsis invicta (red fire ant) is the source of this 1519-nucleotide long non-coding RNA. RefSeq lists it as uncharacterized. The record is from RefSeq and is a predicted model, not a curated record. NCBI's taxonomy places the organism in Eukaryota, Metazoa, Arthropoda, Insecta, Hymenoptera, Formicidae. The transcript has 5 exons.
AUUUUCCUCGAUUCCGAUUCGCUAACGUGUGCAUUGCGCGAGAUUCAUUCGGGCGGCAUAUCCGCGCGACUACUUGAGGAAGCGACGAUCGUAUUUGUCUUUAAUCUUAGCUUAUGCAUUCAAUUAUCUACGUUGUCGUACGGGGAUAGUAAUCGCUGAACCGCGAGCGUGUAACGCUCGCUACGUAAACUCGAGAAAAAGCUUGAGAAUGCAGUCGCGAGCGGGUUAUAAUUCAGUCGCUUGGCGAAGGGAGCGCGGGGAGAGGGACGGGGGGCAACCGCAGCGCGUCAGCAUGAAGUUGCAGCGCGUCCCUCUGAUUUCGUCACGUUCGAGAUUCGGCCAUUACUUAAUACGUAAUACGCACGUCGCGUCGCGAAUGCCGAGCGGUCCGUGGCUUCGUUCAACACAAUUUCAGUGCCGUUUCCUCGCCGCGGUAUAAUAAAUCGCGCACGUCGCGUGGUAAUGAAUAUCGCAGAGCCAAAUGGAGCUCAAUCGUGCCGGUCAUUGCGCGGUUCGAGCGGUUAAGAUAGGUAUGUAUGUAGGUAUGAACGAGAGUAAUGAUUCGGUAGGAAUUGUAAUAAUGAUUGCGUGCUUCACUGAGAUAUUUGAUAGCAAUCGCUACAAUGCGAGCGUGUAAUGCUCGCUACAUAAAAUCAGGAAAAUAUGCAUGAGAAUGUCGGCGGGAUCAGCAGGUUAGAUAUAGUCGGAGAGGUGGGAGGGGGAAGGGGAGGGAAGAAAGGGAGAGCGCGCGGGCGGCACAUGAGAUUGGCAAUACUUUUUGAUUUCGUCGUUCGCGUUGAGAUCCGCCCGUUAUGAUAAUUGAUGCACGCGUGUCGCCAACGCUGAGAGCGGACCGUGGCUUUGUGCAAUGUAGUUUCAUUGUCAUUUGCUCCCCGCGGUAUAAUAAAAUGCGCGUAUCGUGUGCAAUUAAUGUUAAGAGCGCUGUUGUCCUGUUGUGAUUAGUGUACGCGCGAUCGCGUUAACCGUGCCCUCGCGAGUGAAUAUUAUGUAAGUGUCCAUAAGGGGGAAGCAAUGGAGGGACAGAGAUUCGAGAGGAGGAGACCUGGGAGAAGAAAAGUGUGGUGUAACGACGGAGCAACCAUGAGAUUUAUAUACUUUGCUGCUCCACUUUGCGAGUGAAUAUUGUGUAAGUGCCCAUGAGGGAGAAGCAAUAGAAAUACAUAGAUCGAGAUAAAAUUCUGAGAGGAGGAGGAGGCCUGGGAGAAGGCGUCGUGCAACGGCGGAGCAAUCACGAGAUUUACGUACUCCGCUGCUGCGCAUCGUAUUGGUUUACAGAAUCAGAGGUGAAGGAGGAGGAGGCCUGGGAGAGGUAUCUGGCCCCGGCGGAGCAACUUUGGGUAUCAUCGCAGCUUCGUGGCUGAGUAACUCCGCUCGUUGCGCAUCGGUCGGUGAGUCAGGAAUUAGUUUUCUUAUUAUAUUUUAUGCUUUAUGUCCUGCGCAGGAUAAAAAAAAGGGCAUUGAAAGAAAGAUUUUGGUAAUAGCUACCAAAUGUUGGGUG